GAUGAAGAACGCAGCGAACUGCGAUAAGUAAUGUCAAUUGCAGAAUUCAGUGAAUCAUCGAGUCUUUGAACGCACAUUGCGCCCCCUGGCAUUCCGGGGGGCAUGCCUGUCCGAGCGUCAUUGCUGCCCUUCAAGCCCGGCUUGUGUGUUGGGUCGUCGUCCCCCCCGGGGGACGGGCCCGAAAGGCAGCGGCGGCACCGCGUCCGGUCCUCGAGCGUAUGGGGCUUUGUCACCCGCUCGAUUAGGGCCGGCCGGGCGCCAGCCGGCGUCUCCAACCUUCUAUUUUACCAGGUUGACCUCGGAUCAGGUAGGGAUACCCGCUGAACUUAAGCAUAUCAAUAAGCGGAGGA
RNAcentral lists this unclassified non-coding RNA (350 nucleotides) under soil metagenome. RNAcentral's name for it is "partial contains 5.8S ribosomal RNA, internal transcribed spacer 2, and large subunit ribosomal RNA". The stretch from base 1 to 120 matches the Rfam family "5.8S ribosomal RNA", at positions 35 to 154 of the family's 154-position model. The record is from RNAcentral.